GGGACAUCAAGGUGAUUAUAAGUGGACAGACAGCAGUGAAUCUAACUUUACAGACUGGGAAGAAGGUCAGCCUGACCCAGCAACUAGUGGUAACGGAUGCGGAGCAAUUGACCCAGAAGACACUGAUGGCAGUUGGGUAGCCGUGGAUUGCCAAACAAAUGCAUACGAUUACAUCUGCGAAAAGAAGCAAGGGGCUUGUGUCUACGGCUGGGAGCCCUUCGGGAAAUCCUGCUACUAUUUCAACACCGAGAAAUCCGACGCCCUGGUUUGGGAAAAUGCCAAAGCCACCUGCGAGGAGGUGGGAGCUCACCUGGUCAUCAUUGAUGGGGAAGAAGAAAACAACUUUAUUUCGGA
Long non-coding RNA from Macrobrachium nipponense, 354 nucleotides. RefSeq lists it as uncharacterized. The transcript is spliced from 3 exons. The record is from RefSeq and is a predicted model, not a curated record. NCBI's taxonomy places the organism in Eukaryota, Metazoa, Arthropoda, Malacostraca, Decapoda, Palaemonidae.